RNAcentral lists this ribosomal RNA (429 nucleotides) under Gemmatimonadota bacterium. Its description in RNAcentral is "Gemmatimonadetes bacterium partial 16S ribosomal RNA". It matches the Rfam family "Bacterial small subunit ribosomal RNA", at positions 355 to 776 of the family's 1533-position model. Lineage: Bacteria; Pseudomonadati; Gemmatimonadota. The record is from RNAcentral.
UAGGGAAUCUUCGGCAAUGGACGAAAGUCUGACCGAGCAACGCCGCGUGAGUGAAGAAGGUUUUCGGAUCGUAAAACUCUGUUGUUAGAGAAGAACAAGGACGUUAGUAACUGAACGUCCCCUGACGGUAUCUAACCAGAAAGCCACGGCUAACUACGUGCCAGCAGCCGCGGUAAUACGUAGGUGGCAAGCGUUGUCCGUAUUUAUUGGGCGUAAAGCGAGCGCAGGCGGUUUCUUAAGUCUGAUGUGAAAGCCCCCGGCUCAACCGGUGAGGUUCAUUGGAAACUGGGAGACUUGAGUGCAGAAGAUGAGAGUGGAAUUCCAUGUGUAGCGGUGAAAUGCGUAGAUAUAUGGAGGAACACCAGUGGCGAAGGCGGAUCUCUGGUCUGUAACUGACGCUGAGGCUCGAAAGCGUGGGGAGCAAACAGG